GUCCUCUGAUGUCGGAAGCUAAGCAGGGUCGGCCUGGUUAGUACGUGGAUGGGAGACCGCCUGGGAUACGUGCAUGGGAGACCGCCUGGGAUACUUGGAUAGGAGACCGCCUGGGAAUACCGGGUGCUGUAGGCUU
Phyllostomus discolor (pale spear-nosed bat) is the source of this 136-nucleotide long non-coding RNA. RefSeq lists it as uncharacterized. The transcript is spliced from 3 exons. NCBI's taxonomy places the organism in Eukaryota, Metazoa, Chordata, Mammalia, Chiroptera, Phyllostomidae. The record is from RefSeq and is a predicted model, not a curated record.